RNAcentral lists this long non-coding RNA (296 nucleotides) under Setaria viridis. RNAcentral describes it as "long non-coding RNA (SVIR_LNC009671)". The record is from RNAcentral. Lineage: Eukaryota; Viridiplantae; Streptophyta; Magnoliopsida; Poales; Poaceae.
AAGAAGCUAGCAACCUGAGAACCAAACGCAUAGCCCUUUGUUUGAUUGUCUACCUUUGCUAGUCAAGGUUAGGCAAUUCUUUUUUUUAGAUAGGUUAGGCAUUCUUGCUCAGCUAGCUUAUGUGAGCAAAGAAACCAAACAGACCCGACGAGCUGAGAUGACCUCAGCUCAGCCCACUUCGACAUCAUGGCCUAUUUUUAGCCCCUUAGACAACUUCAUCUCCACCUCGCUGUCAUCCGUUCAAUCAAACCAUCCUGCAUCUAACAAUAUGCCAAUAUUGGACUUCUUCACACAAA